ACAGAGGUCUCAAGCGUUGUUCGGAUUCAUUGGGCGUAAAGGGUGUGUAGGUGGCGCCGUAAGUCGGGUGUGAAAUUUCGGAGCUUAACUCCGAAACUGCAUUCGAUACUGCCGUGCUUGAGGACUGGAGAGGAGACUGGAAUUUACGGUGUAGCGGUGAAAUGCGUAGAUAUCGUAAGGCAGACCAGUGGCGACGGCGGGUCUCUGGACAGUUCCUGACGCUGAGGCACGAAGGCCAGGGGAGCAAACGGG
This 252-nucleotide ribosomal RNA is filed under the name uncultured bacterium. RNAcentral describes it as "partial 16S ribosomal RNA". It matches the Rfam family "Bacterial small subunit ribosomal RNA", at positions 525 to 776 of the family's 1533-position model. The record is from RNAcentral.